GGCACAGUGCCAGAGUGGUUAAUGGGUGAGACUUGAAAUCUCAUGGCUUCGGCCGCGCAUGUUCGAACCAUGCCUGUGUCG
Molecule: transfer RNA, 81 nt
Filed under: Ophiostoma novo-ulmi subsp. novo-ulmi H327
Lineage: Eukaryota; Fungi; Ascomycota; Sordariomycetes; Ophiostomatales; Ophiostomataceae
Also listed under: 1 other name
Description: tRNA-Ser (TGA) (tRNA-Ser-TGA-2-1)
Rfam family: tRNA
About the family: Transfer RNA (tRNA) molecules are approximately 80 nucleotides in length.
Source: RNAcentral